This 810-nucleotide long non-coding RNA is filed under the name Vigna radiata. RNAcentral describes it as "long non-coding RNA (VRAD_LNC012836)". The record is from RNAcentral. Lineage: Eukaryota; Viridiplantae; Streptophyta; Magnoliopsida; Fabales; Fabaceae.
CAGUUUCUGAGUUGUUUAAGAGUUUGAACAUGCUUAAAAUCAUCAAGCAAAGUUGUUUGGUUAGUCACAUGAGCUGUUGAAUCACUUCCCUACGAAUUUGGGUUUGAAACCACCAAAAUCAAGUUGUUUUUCUGGUGCAGUCACAGUUACAGCCACUGUUUUGGAUUUUCAUUUGCAAAUUCAUUUCUGGAUUGUGGAAAAAGCUGGUUCAGUGACUGAAAAUGAAAAUAAAUGAGUAAAAGAAGCAACAUCAAGUGUUAAAAAGCUUAAAGAACCAUGCAAUCCAGUUUACAAGCCCUGAAAGUCAAAAACUCAAAAUCUGAAAGUUCAUUGGGGUAUUUUAACAGACACUUUGGUAAAAUAUCAAACAGUUUGGUCUGGAUGAGUCUGUGAUCUGCCAUUUCGAUUUUUUAUUGCUUUCUUAAUCUGUUCUAGUGCCUUUAUUAGGUUCCUUUUGUGUGCUUGCUAUUAUUCCAUCUCCAUUCUCUUUUGUUUUCCACAUUAUUGGCCUCCAAACUGUCACAUAUUCUUCAAAUUGAAUUGGAAUUCUGGUGCAGUUUUCUAACCUCUGUUUGGUGCAUUUGAAAUGGAUUUUGAGGUGCUAUGGUAAUCUUUGAGAGGUAUCCAGUAGCAGAAUUCUUCAUCUAAGGUGGUAGCAUUUUAGGAAGUGAAAAGGGGGCUGAAGUGGGAACCAAUAAGGUGCUUUUGAUCAGCUGCAACUCUGCUGUCCAGCAGCUGAAAAUACACCAGAAAAGUGGAAAAAGGCAAUCUGUUUUGAGUGGAAUUCUGCAGCAGCAACAGUUUGCAAUU